RNAcentral lists this ribosomal RNA (323 nucleotides) under uncultured eukaryote. RNAcentral describes it as "partial 18S ribosomal RNA". It matches the Rfam family "Eukaryotic small subunit ribosomal RNA", at positions 1470 to 1796 of the family's 1831-position model. The record is from RNAcentral.
CCCUUAGAUGUUCUGGGCCGCACGCGCGCUACACUGACACAAUCAACGAGUUUAUAACCUUGAUCUAGCGGUCCGGGUAAUCUUUUGAACCUGUGUCGUGAUAGGGAUAGAUUAUUGCAAUUAUUAAUCUUCAACGAGGAAUUCCUAGUAAACGUGAGUCAUCAACUCACAUUGAUUACGUCCCUGCCCUUUGUACACACCGCCCGUCGCACCUACCGAUUGAAUGAUUCGGUGAAAUCUCGGGACCGUGGAUGUUGCCUCCCGGCACUUUCCGCGGGAACUUGCUUAAACCUCAUCAUUUAGAGGAAGGUGAAGUCGUAACA